GGGGGUGUUUUGGUUUCGCCUGUGUAGUGUAUUGUUUCAGUAGCGGGUCGAGGACACCUUUCACUCGUAAAACACUGGUAAUUAAAAUUAAAUGCAAACAAUAAUAACUACGCUUUAGCUGCUUAAGAAAGCUAAACGCUUAACUGUCCUCCUGUCUGCGGAGACAGUUAGGUGUCAUAAUCUGCAGACUACCGUUUAUCCGAUGACUGUAGGAUAGAUGGGAAUAAUACAGUCUCGUAGUUUGGAACCCUGUCUGUUGGGGGCCAGGCUAUUAAAAUAAAAAACAGACUACACUCGUAGAAGCUGGAACAUGAGCUAUGCAGUACACGGGUUCGAAUCCCGUCACCUCCACCA
This 354-nucleotide transfer-messenger RNA is filed under the name Halanaerobiales. Its description in RNAcentral is "DTU029 sp001512435 Standard tmRNA". It matches the Rfam family "transfer-messenger RNA". From Rfam's summary of the family: Bacterial tmRNA, also known as 10Sa RNA or SsrA, is named for its dual tRNA and mRNA-like properties. Its role is to liberate the mRNA from a stalled ribosome. To accomplish this part of the tmRNA is used as a reading frame that ends in a translation stop signal. The record is from RNAcentral. RNAcentral also lists the same sequence under 3 other names. Lineage: Bacteria; Bacillati; Bacillota; Clostridia.